CUGCAGGGUGGCAAACGUGGAGGGCCCCUCCUGCCAGGAUGGAGGACAAGUCAGUGAGGCCAUGCUCCCCUCCCCCAACUUCUCCCCAGCACCACCGGCCUUUGACCCUGGACAUCUGACCCCAACCAGCUGGCACCAAGGCUACUCCAACCUCCAGUGUGCUAGGAUUCUAGAACAAGCCCAGCUCCAACUGUCACUCUAAGUGUGGCCUGGUCUGGCCUCCCUGAGCCUGUUUCCUCGUCUGGAAAGGUUCUCAGGUGUGUCCUCGGCCGAGACGUGGAUGGAGAGGGCGGGGUGUCCUGGGAGCCUGGGUGAGUGGCUCCUGCCUGGCCCAGGCCCUGGAGAGUCUGGCCCCCAGGCUGGAACGGAGGCCACGCCAAAGCCUGCACUUCCUAAGGAGCCCCUCAGGACAUUCCCUGGAACAGAACUCUUUCUUCAUCCACUCAGGAUGUGGACCCCAAGGUGCCACCUCUGAUCAACAGGGAAGGGGGUGACAGGACACUUUGCUCCCUCAUUUACAUGAAGCUUCUGAUGUCUGUUCAGGAAGGAUCCACUAAGAAUCCAGAAUCCAUCAGGUCCCCAGACACUUCUCCUCAGCCACCUGGGACAUGUGUCCUUGCCAGCUGGGCACUCAGGUGGGACUCCUGUGACUGACUGGCUGUGACUGCUCGAGGGGCCCAGUGGCGAGUUCCAGAAUACACCCGGAUCUGUCUCUGGUCCAGCCAUUUGGACCCAAGGCUGAGCAGCCUGUUUGUCCACCUGGCCCGUGGGAAUCCCUGCUGUGCCCAUCCCUGGGGCGGGCGGGCUGCCCCCCUUGGAGGCAUGGUGAAGGCAGCAGAAGCGGCGGGGGCCUGGCUUAGGCUGAGGGCUAAACCCACCCCAACCACUUAGGAAGAAGCUAAGUCCAGCAGGUGGGACCUGCACAGAAGCCAGAGAUGUGUUGAUUGUGUGCCAGCCCAGCCAGCACCACCAUGUCCCAUGACCAGGGCCCCCUGCCCACAAACUUCAGCCCACCUGCCUGUGGACCAAAGAGAUCCCUCCUCUUGCUAAUCUGGACAAGACAGACUGGAAUUUUCAGAGGAAGUUUAAGUGAGAAACUAUCAAAGCCACACCCUGCCCCGUCCCCCUUCCCACCUCACCCUUCUCUCUUUCCAGACUCCAGCCUCCACUCUACUUUGGUCAUCAGUUGUCUGCUCAAGGAUUUGUCUUUUGUAUACAGCUCCUUAAAGUUUUCAGACUCUCCCUGAGGGGAGGGAAAGAAGGAAGGAUAAAUUUAGGAAUAAUGUCGGGGGUCUGAGUGCGAAUCCCUUUUCUCUGAAAACCCGAGAGAUUCAAACAGCCUGCACGAGUGCUCUCACUGGGCUCCUCCAAGCACUCAAGUCUCCAUGGGACCGGGGAUGGGCUCUCCUGUGGGCCACCUGGGGCCUCCAUUCCCAUUUCCAUUGAGCAGCUGUUUUGACCAGUUUGAGUUUCAGCUGGGUGUAGAGUUCUGUUUGUAAACACUUGAAAACCUCCAAUUUGGCUCAACCCAGUACCUGUCAUUUAAGGAAACAUUCCUGAAGCAGAACUGGUGCACUAAGGACCCUAGGAGGCUUAGAGACCCCUACCCCUGCCCCGCAAGGCCUAGGCCCUGUCCCCAGGGUCUGUUGCCUCCUGGGAGUUCCCAGGUGACUGAGGGGGCAAUGGCAGACAUAUGGGAGGUCCCUCACCCACCCUGAUCCCCCUAGGGAGAGAGGCCUACCCACCAGGAAACUUCAUCCCAUGUGUUCUCCAGGUGACUUAUGGAGCUUUAGGAUGUUGCACUCCCGGGAACGGGAAGAGAAUGGGCUGUCGGUGGGGCACUGGGGCCCCACUUGCUCUGGCUUCAGUCCCCUUCAAUUUAAAUCUCCGCUCCUGGAUGACACAGGUGCUCAGGGAGCCCCAGAAGGGCAUAUUUAGGACCCAAAGAGGAACACUCACAGGGAGCAGGAUUUUAGCUCUACCCAAGGAAGGAGCCAGGUAGGAAGUGCACAUCCUACUGCUGGGACCUGGAGUCCAAGUCAGUGUGCCCCUGGCAGGAAGGGCCUGGGGACUGUGCAGGGGCUUGGACAACACACUUCAAUACUGAGAACAGAUAAAGGUGAAGAGGUAGUUCCCAAGGCCCCAGAGAGGGACUGCACUUGGCCUGUGCAUACCUGUGCCACCUGGAUCCAGUGUUCCACCACCCUGGCCCUGUCCGAGGCUGUCCUGCUUGGGUCCCCUAGGCAGGUGAUUGUGAUGAAGUUGACUACCCUCUGGAAGUGGUCAGUGGUGGCCCGGACGGUGGGUGCCAGGUGCUCAUUCCCGAGCUUGAUCCUCUUGCCUCAGGAGGAGCCCAGGCACUGAGAGGGCACCACCUUCCUGAAGAGCUCCUGGGGAGCAGGGGGAGUGUCACCUGGCCCUGCCACACCCCAGCUCUGUGUCUACAGCCCCCAAAGUCCCAAGCAGGAUGCUCAGAGCUGGAGCUCAGGAAACUGAGGGUGUGGCCUGAGCCCUGUAGGAGUCCCUGGAUUGUAUUCUCUGUCCACUGAAGGCACUCAGCACAGGAUGACCCAGGACCCAACAGUGGCAGGGAAGGGAGAGGGCAUUUGCACCCAGCCCAUCCUGGCUAACUCCGAGUUCCAGAUGGCAGCUCAACUCGGCUCAUCCCGAGGGGGCAUCUUCCACCAUCCUGAUUGCCCUCUGGUCCCACUCCCCACUCUGAUGCACAUUCCCCCAUGGCAGCUACAGCCACUGGCUUUGUAUGUCUCCUUUGUAGUUAAGUAGACAUCAGGUGUCUAAAAAGUGCUGAGCCUCCUGAGCAAAUGGUUGGGCCACCCAUGGACCUUACCGCACACAGUGAGUUCCCCUUCCCCACAGCAGGGGCCAGGACCCACCCAGCUUUCUACUUCUUCUACCUCAUUGACAGCACAGCCACUCUGUGCAGCAGGUCCUGUUAGUGUCCACCUCUACAGUCUGCAGGUGGACAGCAAAGGCUUGGGGGUUAAGAAAGUUGCCCACAUCGUAUGGUUAGUCAUGGGUGGAGCUGGGAUUUGGGCCCAGAUCAUAGGAGUCUGGACCAGAUCUGGGGCAAUGAUGGCAGAGGGAAGGCCUGCCCCACCCCACCCUGAGAGACCAGCUGCUCACCGCAAUCAUCAUGAUCAUUACUCCGCCAGCAGCUUAGGAGGGAAGGCCCUGAGGUUGAGCUUCUCCUCACUUGGUGGGUUCUUACUGGCCACAGGCCUGGGGCAGGAAGGCUCUGGGUUUCAAGCCGGCUCUAUCUUUGGAGCUGGUGAUGGAAUUCCCAUUAGACCUGGUGGUCCAGGUGACUCCAGCUCAGGAGCUGCCACUCCCACUGGAGCUGAUGCUGGUCCUUGCUCCAGCUUCAACACUGCUGAUGGCAGGGAUGCUGGCUCCGACACUAUAGGUGAUGGUAUCAAUGGAGCUGGAGCUGGAGCUGGAGCUGGCUCUACCUCCAGACCUGGCCACUGUUGUGGUUCUGCAGCUGCCUGGAGACCUGGAGCUGGCACUGGAGCAGGAUAAAGAGAAAGGUUCACUCACAUAACUGACUUUCCAUGUGUCUUUCCCCAAACAGGAAAGAUCCCACUGCCCUUAUAGGAAUACCGAGCCUGUGAACCCCAUCCCACAUAGUCUUCCCUGCCUGCAGUCCCCCUUACCCUGUGGCUCUGCCUCAGUGAUAUCUGGAAGCUCCAAGUGGACCACCAGAAGAGGGUCACAGCAAUCCAGGUCCGAGCCAGGCAAGGUGACCUACACAUACAGCUCCUUUAGCUUGAAGAGGGGACAGUGCAGGGGCCACCAGGAAUUCUGCAGGUACUGUUCUAGUCAGGUGCCCAGGAAGAGAGAGAGGGCACUGGGGAGAGUCAUGUGGAGCAGAGUCAGAAGCCUGGCCUUUCAUUCCACACCAUGCUCCCACAGCACCCUUCUUUGGGUGGAGGACCCUGAAGAUGGUCCAGCCCAUACCAACCCCUCAGGCUGUCCUUGCAGUGGAAGGCCUGGUCAUUGACCAGGUCUAACAGAGCCUAUGUGCAUCUCAUCUGCCCACCGACACUCUUCUCCUGAGGGCCUGGCCAGAGCCGGUCCCAUCCCCCAUGUACAUGAGCAUCAGGACUGAGGUUGGAGGCAGAUUUGUGAGCAGGCGGCUCACCACACCUACUAUCUGGGGCCCCGGUGGUGGUGGUUAGGACAGGUGGAUGUGGAGAGGGCAGAGAGUGACAUGGGACUGUGGAAGGGAUGGGUCUCUCAAGGCCCACUCAGUCCACCUCCCCUCUGCUUCUCAGGGGGACUGGGACCCCACCCAAAGCUCUCUUUGACUCAUAUCCUCAUGGAGGGCAAGCCCCCAGACCUCAGCCCUCCCAUGGGAAUCAAAACCUGUGUGAGAUCCAGGGUUCUGCCAGUCAGUUCCUCCCAAGCCACAUUUCCCAGAGUCUCCCAGCCUCUUCUGUGGAGAUAGGAGGCCCCGCUUCUGCACCAAAAGACCACUCACAUUCUUAGAUGGUCCUGUAGUCGGUCACCCUGGAUGGAAUAUGGCAAGAUGCAUCCAUAUCUAGAAGAGGCCAUGGGGGCAUCACAUCUAAUGUACUGUGGACAUGACUGCUUAUGACGUCCAGAGUGACUGUCCCACUCUUAGACUGGAAUUGAGGCCCAAGGAUUGAGCCUGCUCCAUUCACUGAAUGACUGCAGUGUCUAGGAAAGUGCCUGCAUGGAGUAGGUGUUUAAUAGAUAUUGUUGAAUAGAUGAACUCAACCAGAACCUUCUCAGAUAUCUGAGUAGGCCUGGGGCUCCUCUGCUGGCUCAGAAAUCCUUAAUUUCACUACCCCAAGGACAAGGCCCAAGACCCAUUGAAUGGAAUUUCAAAACUCCUUUACAAAUGGGGAAACAGGUUGCUUUCCACUUGGUUUUCCAAACUCAGGAAAGCCAAAGGACUGAUUGGAGUGAGGCAGAGAGCUUCUCCAUAGGGAAGAGAGAACUGACAAACAUGAGAAUGUCCAGGACACCCCGCAGCCCCUCUGCAGAGCCAGGCACCAGGGAAGCAUCUGCCGUGGCUGAUCCCAAGAUUUCCUACAAUAACCCCAUGAGGUUCAUCUUCUGACCACCCCUCUUUCAGAAGAGUAAAGUGAAGCUCAGAGAGGUGUGUUCACAUUCUUCAGACACAGCUAGCAGGUGGGAGACUCAGCACUGUGCUGAGGAGGGGGCAGCUCUCGCCUGUGGGACAGCUGGCCCAACACCUGCUGGGUGGCGAAGGCCUGGUGGGUGCACAGGAAGGGAGCAGUGCAGAUGCUUCUCCCUGGGAGGCUGGCCCAGGGACUCUGCCACGUACUCCCUUGUGCCUGCCUUGGGGUCAGCAUCACGCAGGCCUGAUCAGGGGACAGGGCUGAGUCCUUUUCAUACCGAGUGGACAAAGAAGGACAUAUAGUUGGCAGCAUCACCAUGAGCCACCAGGAGGAUCAGGGCCUGGAGCUCAGACCAGAAACUCCCAUCACCUCAGGAACUGAUGCAAGGGGAGGAACACGAGUGCUCACACAGGAAAACGUUCUAGGCUUUAAAAGUAUAAUUUGAACUGGGGGGGAACAAUAAACCAUUGGCAACUUCAAGGCAUUCUGUCAGCUGAGAAACAAUAGCACCUCCCUGUAUUAAUGGCCUGUGUUAAGAGCAUUAUCCCAGUGAGUCAUCAGCAAACUUGCCCACUGUAGACGUUGGGAGACAAACUGUUAGGGAUUUGAGUGGCUACUCAAGAUCAUGCAGGUCAGAACCAAGAACAGUAUAUAGCAUGGGCUGCAUGACAUUCCCUCUCAACCACCUGAGGCUUAGUCGGCUCCUGACUUGGAAAGGAAGGCUCUGGGGAAAGCACAGUCCUGGGAGGGCCCUAGGGGAGUCGCCAGAUUCCAGUCUGGGAUCUGGGUCUACCCCAGUCAUCUUGGGGUACUGAGUUUGGAGACCUCUAUGUGCCCACAGUUAUCCCAGACCAGUGCUGGCUGCUGGUGGCCUGAUGCACCUGCCCCUUGUCCAGGGAGAUAAGAGUAUUUGAACCCCUCCACCAGCUCCUGGAGGAUGUCCUGGGUGGAGCUCUACAAAGACAGAGCCCAGUACCGCACCAAUAGGCAUCAAGGGACUUCCACCCAAUCUGUGGUCCCAUGUUACGGCAGACCCUGCACACUAACACAGUCUGUGAGGACACAUUUAACAUGUUCCCUGAAGCACUGCUGAAAUGGCAACAGAAUUGAAUCCUGUCAAGGUCCAGUAACAUCUAGAGGCUGAAUGGCUGUGGCAAAUGACCUCCUUAAUGGGAUAUUUUGAAGAUGAGUAAGGCCACAGCUCCUGACCUGGUGGGCCUACAGUGAUUUGAUGGGUUCUGUGAGAUGACAAGUUGCAGAGAAAUGUACACAAUACCUUACUCCCACUCCCAUUUUCGUACAAACCGCCCUAUCAGGUGUGAUGAUUUGUAAGGCUCUGAGAAGGUCUGUAAGGACAGUGGAGCCGACUCCUCCACGGGAUUCCCGGGUGGGGAUGCUAAAAUAAUCGAGUAGCAAAAUGCAAAGACCACAUAAAAUUCUUUCUCCACCAUUCCAACAAAUAUGCAAAGGGUGUAUUUCUACUCUACCACAUGGCGGGUGACUCAUGUGUGGGGAUCUAGAUUUCUUUGGGAUCAGGCCUGUGGGACGCUCAUGUGGGAAAGCCCUACACAGCCCCAGGGGAGUCCCCACAUUUGAGUCUGGGUACUGGUCCUGCCCUAGACAUUUUGAGGUCCUCACUGUGGAGACCCUCUGCUUCUGCUCUCACCUCAGACCAGCAUUGGAGGGUGUUGGUGGCCUGGUGCACCUGCCCCUUGUCUAGCGAGUUGGAGGAAUUGAACCCAUCCGCUGGCUCCUUGACACUUUCCUGAGAGGAGUUCUGCAAGACAGUGCCCAGGAGCUGGGCCAGGAGGAAUCAGGAGCUGCCUGCACAUUGUCACUGGGGCAAACUCCCAAGAGAAAUUCUGUUCCUCAGUUCAGGCACAGAGGGGCAUCUUCAAAGAACUCUAGUCAAGGAUGGAAUGAGAUGACACCUCUAGGGCUCGGUAACCAGGAGUGGAGGAGCUCAUGUUCUCAUGCUGCCAGCCACGACCUGGGGUAUGAGCAUGACAGACCCACCAGACUUCCAACCUUAACAACCAGCUCCUGCCCAGGAAUGACCUGCCUCUCAUCCCUGCCUUCCUCCUUCCAUACUCACACACACACACACACACACACACACAUGCACACGAUAAGGGGCGAAGGGCGUGGGGCUGAUCAGGUGGGAUCACAGUUGUGUCCUGCCUGCACUAGCCUUUCCUGGGCUGCUCCAUGUUACCUUUGGGUGCCCCCUGCCAAAGGCCAGAAGCAUUGGGGAUGAGGGGUAGCCAAUGUCUACAAUGAAAAAGGCUCUCUUUUUGGGCUUUUCUGAACCCAGAUCCUCUCAAAGUCAGGAUAUAAGAACAAAACAUCUUUGUUGACUGUCUCUGGUCAUGUGAGCUGGAUAGGGGGCUGUGGGUACCUGGUUUCCAGAGCUCUAACAUCUGUUGAGGUCUAUGACCAAGGAAGUAAGGUCAUUUUUCAAGAGUCCAUUACCUGGGCCCCUUGCUUUAAUCGGACUUGCCCAGAGCUGCCCCUGCUGCCAGGCUGCUCACCCUCCUCCCCCAGGUCAUCUCCUGUAUGGUACACUGAGCCAGCACAGCCCUAGCCACGGCUCCCUGGAAACCUAACCAGGGUCCUAGCUUUGAGGAGACAGAUGAACGCAGACCUCCUUUUUCUUACCAGUUUUGUGUCCUCAGAAAGUGACUGUGCCUCAGGUCCUCCCCAGUCUCCAAACCCCCACAGUGGGGAUCAGGCCAGAAUCUACUUCCCAGGGAUCAUCAGGUGUAUAUAUAAGAUAAUAUCUUCUAUAACCCCUGUGGCCUGGUGCCACAUGUGUUAAGUCACAAACUUAGAGGUGGAAGAAUUACAAGAAGGGGUGAGACGUAGCACAGAACACCACUGAAAGCAGGCCUGGGUCCCAGCAGUGUGACGUCGGAACAGUCACUUCCAACUUGGCUUCAUUUUCAGGUCGGCGUCAUGAGGGGGUUGAAAUGGGUGGAAAUUCAGAUAUUGUCAUCCUGUGGCAUAAAGCGGUUCAAUUGUUUCCUGAAUGUUUAGAAUGCGACCCAAGGGCCUCAUCUUGGCCUAUGGGGUGGAAUGCCUUGACAAUGGUAUCCAGUAACUCCCACCCAUUGUAUACACAUCUCUGUGUAACCACUAGGUUAGAAACCAACUGGCUUCUGAACAGAACACAGUAAGAGUGAUGGGAUGUCUCACCCAAAUUUUAAUUACAAAAGGUCUGUCACUUCCCUCUUACUCCCUCUCUCGUGUUCCAUCUCUCUCUCUCUCUCUCUCUCUCUCUCUCUCUCUCACACACACAUAUCCUCAGAACUAGGAAUCAAGCACCAGAGUUUGGGGCUACCCAGUGUAGAGGCCCAUAGAGGAGAGAAGCAAGGGCAUGCUCAGGCCAACAGACAGAAAGGAACUCAGCUCUCAGUCCAAACGGAAUCCUGAAAGCUGAGAGUGAACUUGGAGCAAACCCUCCCUGAGUCCAGCCUCAGCUGAGGCCUCAGCCUCAGCCUGGGAAACUCACUGAGGUAGAGGCAGCCAGAUAAACCAUGCCUAAUUGCUGGUCCACAAAAAUUGUGAGAUAGUAAACAUUCAUAGUUUUAAAAUGCAAGGUUUAGGGACAGUAAAGUCGGAGGGGAAAAGAUAACUAACACAGCCUAUCAGGCCCCAGGCCCUGGCCCUACCUUCCACCCCAUCUCCCGUUCUCUCCUCCCAGGCUCCCUCCAGCCACACUGCCACCUUUCUAACCUCCUCUGGCCAAACACUUCUGCCAGUGAGUCUCUGUACCAGUGGUGCCUUCUCCCUGACACAAUGCUCCAGAUUCGUGUGGAGCUGUUUCCCUCAUCAUUCCUGUCCCAGCAAAUGUCACCCCAGUGAGGCCUUUCAGACCAUCCUGCCCAGUUGACCCCCAGCCCUCCCUCGCAGCCCCCUGCUGUGUUUACUAUAGCAUCUGCCCUUUUCUUUCUCAUGUCUUUGCUGUUGUCCAUCUCCCCACUAUACUGUGAGCUCCUGACAGGCAGGGACCACUCGGUCAUUUUCAGCCUGCAUGGAGGCUACCCGGGCACCUGGCACAGGAGGAGUGCUUGGCACACAGCUGCUGAAUGAAGCAAUGAGAAGACCUUGCACCCUCCUCCUACUUCUGACCCACUUUGAUUGUGGAGAUGAAUGCUAGUAAUAGGAGUUGCAAAUUGUUUCUGAGGCAGGGCGCAGCCAGAAAGACCGCUGCAUGACUCUUUGCUGCUCCAGGAGCCCAAGCAAAGCUCAGUGGGCACUGUGGAAAUUUUGGGUGUAUGGCAUAGUGACUUGAUGUACAUAAAUUAUGUAAUGAUUACCACAAUAAGUUUAGUGAACAUCCAUCACCAAACAAAAUUUUUUUCUUGGUGAUGAGAAGUUCUAGGAUCUACUCUCUAAGAAACUUUCAAAUAUGCCCACACAGCAGUGUUAACUUAUACAGUGUUUAUAUAAAUUAUACCUCGAUACAACCAAAAACAAAUGAAAACAAAAAUUCAGUGGCCACCACUGACGCAAGAGGCUGCCUGCCCCCUGGUGGCCAGCACUAGCACUGCAGCCCAGGCAGGAACUCCCCCAAGCAGAAAGGCCGCUUUCUUUGGGUGUCCUCAAGGCAGAGGCUCUCCACUGUCCCAGGGGUAGAAGAGCAGGAGCUGCAGGUUUCCAGGGAGUGGGGGGAAUCUCAGGAGCCUCCUUUUCCCCUCAUCUUUCUGUCCCGCACCAGGGUGUCCUCUGCACUCAUGAGGCACCCUAACCUCAGCCAGGACAAUGAUGCCUCCCUACCUUGCAAUGAGGACCCCGAGGAUCCUCCAAGGACUAGUCUUCUCCCUGGAAUCUGGACUUGAUGUCCUGUGCUCUGGCUCCUUCCUUAUCCCAAGUCUCAUCCACCCAAGCCCCCAGGGCUACUCGGUUCUAAGGGAUCUCCAGGGAGUGGAAAGCAUUUUCUCAGGCUCUCAGAGCAGUGGGUCAUCGACGGAGAAGCCAUCCCAACAGACACGCUGUGAGGCAUGGAACUCUUGGAGCCACCCGCUGGGUGUUCUCCACUUUAUACAGGAGGACACUCACUGAGGGCUUCUCUCCUGCACCCAAGGUCUGCAAAGGGGAUGAUGGCCUCAUCACACUUCCAGGUGCUCACAGAGGUGGACUGCAGGACCCCAGUCCUGUCCUCACCAGGCAGGGCCAGGGACUGCUUUGGAAUAGGCAGAGACCUGGGAACCUUGGGGAUCCCUCUGCCCAUCUCUGGGUCCCCAGGUACGUAGCUAGGAGAACAGAUGCUACUGCCCCAUGGGAGAGCUGCCUCCAAUCUCUCUCUCUCCUGCCUCUUCUCACUUCCCUGGUGCCUGCUCUUUCUUGACUGCACCUCCUGGUCCCCACAUGAGGUCAGUGUGAGUGGGUGUGCCUGUGCACAUGUGAAAAUGCGGAAAGGAAAAUGGCCCCAUAUGGAGAGGGGGUGGGCUGGAAUCCUCUGGGAUCUUAAGCCCUCCCAUGCCAAAGGGAACCUGUAGGGAAGAGGCUGAGCUUUGGUCAAGAAAAUUGGAGCUCUCGCUCAACUUCUGGGCUCUGACCACCUCCUGUGAUCUGGGCCAGCACUUUCCUCUUUCUGGGCCAGUUUCCCAGCUGUACAGUGAGGGGUAAGAUGUGCCACAGCCCAAGCUUGUGCUCAGCCAGGAUAGGUUGUCAGGUUGCACGCUGGAUGGAGUGUCAGCGUGGGCUGCUGCUCUGGUGAGCAGAGACAUAAUGCUCCCUACCACAGAGACACUGGGAGACCAGGCCUCUGGUGUGAUUCUUGCAGACAAAAGGGGCCAUGUGCUAGCCCAAGGACAGCUCAUGUGUGUGAGGAAAUUUAUCUUGUGGUUUGUUCAAUUGCUGCCUGAAGGAAAGCAGGUUCUCUGUUCUAAAAGGUAAGGGAGAAGAAAACAGUAGAAAUGACCAGUGCUCCCUCCUACACUAACCUUCUAGCUGAAGAGGACGAGAGGAUGUCACUAUCACACAAACGGCAUCUGUUCAUCUACCACAGCCCCUCUUUUCAGGUUGUUCAUUCACUCACACACAGAACAGCAAGCCUUGCUUCCAAACUGGUAAAUAUGAAUGGGGUCCCUGCCUUCUGUUCCCAGCAGGGUGAUCAGAAGCACUGUGUGGCUUCCACCUGCCUGUGCCUUGGAAGCAGAUCAGAGCAAAUCCUUUCUAUUUCAUAAAUGGAAUUGUCUGGGUCUGAGGUUGUAGGGCCUCUUGAGAAACAACGCGUUCCUUAAGAGCUGAGGCAAAAUGGAAUCUCUGCAAAUGAAAUAAGUGCAACGCGCUAACCCCCACCCAUUAUACUCCCCAAAGACUUAGAACCUACAAGGUGAACAUCACCAGCUAAGUUAAUCCACACGAAAGUGAUAAAGGCCAAAAUGGCACAUGAUGAAAUUUAUCAUUGACUAAAUAUCGAUGGGACAAGAAACACAUCUGAACGCACUUUGAUAUGAAUAAUGCUAGUUGAGAAAGUUUGACUUGGUAGAAAUAAUGACACCUACAACAAAACUUAAAAUAGUUGAAUCUGUAGUCAGCACAUUGUGAUGUGGAUAAAAAUAAUCCAGCCACUCGCAUGAAAAAUAAUUGAUUCUGAUAAAAAAUAAUUUCAGUGAAUUAAAAAUAAAAGUAGAUACAUUAGAAUUGUUUUACAGAGCUAUAUUUUAAAGAAAUUGAUCAAGGAAUUCACACUGUAUUGCAUACUGCAAAGUUAAUAAGAGAGUCAAUCUUAAAAUCUCUCAUCACAAGAAAAAACAUUUGUAACUAUGUAUGAAGAUAGCUGUGAACUGGGAUUUUUUGUGGCGAUCAUUUUGCAAUAUAUAUAAAUAUCAAACCAUU
Long non-coding RNA from Equus caballus (horse), 11975 nucleotides. Lineage: Eukaryota; Metazoa; Chordata; Mammalia; Perissodactyla; Equidae. The record is from Ensembl.